Molecule: ribosomal RNA, 372 nt
Filed under: uncultured organism
Description: bacterial SSU rRNA
Rfam family: Bacterial small subunit ribosomal RNA
Source: RNAcentral
CGGAGGUCCCAAGCGUUGUUCGGAUUCACUGGGCGUAAAGGGUGCGUAGGUGGCGAGGUAAGUCGGAUGUGAAAUCUCCGAGCUCAACUCGGAAAUGGCAUUGGAAACUACCUUGCUAGAGGGUCGGAGGGGGGACUGGAAUGCUUGGUGUAGCAGUGAAAUGCGUAGAUAUCAAGCGGAACACCAGUGGCGAAGGCGAGUCCCUGGACGACUCCUGACACUGAGGCACGAAAGCUAGGGGAGCAAACAGGAUUAGAUACCCUGGUAGUCCUAGCCGUAAACGGUGCACGUUUGCUGUAAAAGGAAUCGACCCCUUUUGUGGCGUAGCCAACGCGUUAGACGUGCCGCCUGGGAAGUACGGUCGCAAGAUUA